AGUGAACGCUGGCGGUAGGCCUAACACAUGCAAGUCGAACGGCAGCACAGUAAGAGCUUGCUCUUACGGGUGGCGAGUGGCGGACGGGUGAGGAAUACAUCGGAAUCUACUUUUUCGUAGGGGAUAACGUAGGGAAACUUACGCUAAUACCGCAUACGACCUACGGGUGAAAGCAGGGGAUCUUCGGACCUUGCGCGAUUGAAUGAGCCGAUGUCGGAUUAGCUAGUUGGCGGGGUAAAGGCCCACCAAGGCGACGAUCCGUAGCUGGUCUGAGAGGAUGAGCAGCCACACUGGAACUGAGACACGGUCAAGACUCCUACGGGAGGCAGCAGUGGGGAAUAUUGGACAAUGGGCGCAAGCCUGAUCCAGCCAUACCGCGUGGGUGAAGAAGGCCUUCGGGUUGUAAAGCCCUUUUGUUGGGAAAGAAAAGCAGCAGGUUAAUACCCCGCUGUUCUGACGGUACCCAAAGAAUAAGCACCGGCUAACUUCGUG
This 492-nucleotide ribosomal RNA is filed under the name uncultured bacterium. RNAcentral's name for it is "partial 16S ribosomal RNA". It matches the Rfam family "Bacterial small subunit ribosomal RNA", at positions 29 to 507 of the family's 1533-position model. The record is from RNAcentral.